RNAcentral lists this RNase P RNA (356 nucleotides) under Bacillota bacterium. Its description in RNAcentral is "RNase P RNA component class B". It matches the Rfam family "Bacterial RNase P class B". From Rfam's summary of the family: Ribonuclease P (RNase P) is a ubiquitous endoribonuclease, found in archaea, bacteria and eukarya as well as chloroplasts and mitochondria. Lineage: Bacteria; Bacillati; Bacillota. The record is from RNAcentral.
AUAUUUUGACAAACGCUAUAUUUUUAUAAUAUAGAGGAAAGUCCAUGCUCGCACAAUCUGUGAUGGUUGUAGUGUUUGUGUGUAGGGAAAAAAUAACCUACAGUAACAUAAUUUAUGUUAACGGCUCCGAGGAAGUCUAAGUACUUUGUAUAUGACUUUAUUAGGUAUAAAAGUGCCAAAGUGACGAAGUCUUUUAGAAAUAAAAGAAGUGGAACGUGGUAAACCCCGCAAGCGAGAAACCCAAAAUUUGGUAGGGGAGCCUAGAAGCUGGAGAAUCAAGAAUCUGGCUUGGGAUCAAGCAAUUGAUAGAUAAAUGUUUGUCGCCUAGAAAUAGGAACAGAACAUGGCUUAUAAAA